CCUUUGACGUUAGCGGCGGACGGGUGAGUAACACUGGGUAACCUACCUAUAAGACUGGGAUAACUUCGGGAAACCGGAGCUAAUACCGGAUAAUAUUUCGAACCGCAUGGUUCGAUAGUGAAAGANGGUUUUGCUAUCACUUAUAGAUGGACCCGCGCCGUAUUAGCUAGUUGGUAAGGUAACGGCUUACCAAGGCGACGAUACGUAGCCGACCUGAGAGGGUGAUCGGCCACACUGGAACUGAGACACGGUCCAGACUCCUACGGGAGGCAGCAGGA
This 278-nucleotide ribosomal RNA is filed under the name uncultured Staphylococcus sp. Its description in RNAcentral is "partial 16S ribosomal RNA". It matches the Rfam family "Bacterial small subunit ribosomal RNA", at positions 83 to 354 of the family's 1533-position model. Lineage: Bacteria; Bacillati; Bacillota; Bacilli; Caryophanales; Staphylococcaceae. The record is from RNAcentral.